UUCCUACGGGAGGCAGCAGUGGGGAAUAUUGCACAAUGGGGGAAACCCUGAUGCAGCGACGCCGCGUGAGUGAAGAAGUAUUUCGGUAUGUAAAGCUCUAUCAGCAGGGAAGAUAAUGACGGUACCUGACUAAGAAGCCCCGGCUAACUACGUGCCAGCAGCCGCGGUAAUACGUAGGGGGCAAGCGUUAUCCGGAUUUACUGGGUGUAAAGGGUGCGCAGGUGGCAGGGCAAGUCAGAUGUGAAAGCCCGGGGCUCAACCCCGGUAUUGCAUUUGAAACUGUCCGGCUAGAGUGAAGGAGAGGG
RNAcentral lists this ribosomal RNA (305 nucleotides) under uncultured bacterium. Its description in RNAcentral is "bacterial SSU rRNA". It matches the Rfam family "Bacterial small subunit ribosomal RNA", at positions 336 to 658 of the family's 1533-position model. The record is from RNAcentral.